GACGAACGCUGGCGGCGUGCCUAAUACAUGCAAGUCGAACGCUUCUUUCCUCCCGAGUGCUUGCACUCAAUUGGAAAGAGGAGUGGCGGACGGGUGAGUAACACGUGGGUAACCUACCCAUCAGAGGGGGAUAACACUUGGAAACAGGUGCUAAUACCGCAUAACAGUUUAUGCCGCAUGGCAUAAGAGUGAAAGGCGCUUUCGGGUGUCGUUGAUGGAUGGACCCGCGGUGCAUUAGCUAGUUGGUGAGGUAACGGCUCACCAAGGCCACGAUGCAUAGCCGACCUGAGAGGGUGAUCGGCCACCCUGGGACUGAGACACGGCCCAGACUCCUACGGGAGGCAGCAGUAGGGAAUCUUCGGCAAUGGACGAAAGUCUGACCGAGCAACGCCGCGUGAGUGAAGAAGGUUUUCGGAUCGUAAAACUCUGUUGUUAGAGAAGAACAAGGACGUUAGUAACUGAACGUCCCCUGACGGUAUCUAACCAGAAAGCCACGGCUAACUACGUG
This 508-nucleotide ribosomal RNA is filed under the name uncultured bacterium. Its description in RNAcentral is "partial 16S ribosomal RNA". It matches the Rfam family "Bacterial small subunit ribosomal RNA", at positions 28 to 507 of the family's 1533-position model. The record is from RNAcentral.